GAGUUUGAUUCUGGCUCAGAUUGAACGCUGGCGGCAUGCUUUACACAUGCAAGUCGAACGGCAGCACAAGGAGCUUGCUCCUGGGUGGCGAGUGGCGAACGGGUGAGUAAUGUAUCGGAACGUGCCUGGUAGUGGGGGAUAACCACUCGAAAGAGUGGCUAAUACCGCAUGAGAUCUCUGGAUGAAAGCGGGGGACCUUCGGGCCUCGCGCUAUCGGAGCGGCCGAUAUCAGAUUAGGUUGUUGGUGGGGUAAAGGCCUACCAAGCCUGCGAUCUGUAGCUGGUCUGAGAGGACGACCAGCCACACUGGGACUGAGACACGGCCCAGACUCCUACGGGAGGCAGCAGUGGGGAAUUUUGGACAAUGGGCGCAAGCCUGAUCCAGCAAUGCCGCGUGCAGGACGAAGGCCUUCGGGUUGUAAACUGCUUUUGUACAGAACGAAAAGUCUCUGGCUAAUAUCUAGAGAUCAUGACGGUACU
This 479-nucleotide ribosomal RNA is filed under the name Brachymonas sp. canine oral taxon 015. RNAcentral's name for it is "bacterial SSU rRNA". It matches the Rfam family "Bacterial small subunit ribosomal RNA", at positions 9 to 479 of the family's 1533-position model. The record is from RNAcentral. Lineage: Bacteria; Pseudomonadati; Pseudomonadota; Betaproteobacteria; Burkholderiales; Comamonadaceae.